This 482-nucleotide ribosomal RNA is filed under the name uncultured bacterium. RNAcentral's name for it is "partial 16S ribosomal RNA". It matches the Rfam family "Bacterial small subunit ribosomal RNA", at positions 28 to 507 of the family's 1533-position model. The record is from RNAcentral.
GAUGAACGCUAGCGGCAGGCCUAAUACAUGCAAGUCGAACGAGAUUAAGAGGCUUGCUUCUUAUGAAAGUGGCGCACGGGUGCGUAACGCGUAUGCAACCUACCUUAAUCAGGGGGAUAGCCCGAAGAAAUUCGGAUUAAGACCGCAUAAAAACACAGGAUAGCAUUAUCCAAUGUUCAAAUAUUUAUAGGAUUAAGAUGGGCAUGCGUGUCAUUAGCUAGUUGGCGGGGUAACGGCCCACCAAGGCGACGAUGACUAGGGGAUCUGAGAGGAUGACCCCCCACACUGGUACUGAGACACGGACCAGACUCCUACGGGAGGCAGCAGUAAGGAAUAUUGGUCAAUGGAGGGAACUCUGAGCCAGCCAUGCCGCGUGCAGGAAGACAGCCCUCUGGGUCGUAAACUGCUUUUAUUCGGGAAUAAACCUUUCUACGUGUAGGAAGCUGAAUGUACCGAAGGAAUAAGGAUCGGCUAACUCCGUG